Molecule: long non-coding RNA, 21138 nt
Organism: Symphalangus syndactylus (siamang)
Lineage: Eukaryota; Metazoa; Chordata; Mammalia; Primates; Hylobatidae
Source: RefSeq, a predicted model, not a curated record
CACUCCGUUGGUCCUGAUGCUGUCUGUCUCCUCAUUUGUCAAAUGGGUCCAGGGGAAAGAUUUUUUUUCCUUCCCUCCCCUUUGCUUUUUUAAAAAAAUUAUUUAUUAGUUUUUGUUUAAAAAAAAAACCCUCACCAAAAUUUAAAUUGGGUCUGCUAAAACCCUCUCCGGGUGAGCAGGCGAGCGAGCGCCCCGCGUGCCCGGCAUCAGGCGAGCUGGACAAUUAGCACGAUGGCCCAGCUGGGACCCACAGUGGUAGAUGGUGGUGGCGGUGCUUUUGCCCGAUUCCUUGCCAAAUAAACACAGAAAAGGGAUUUCCCCUCCUCAGGAGGUGGAGUGCUGAGACGUUAGGGGCUGGGGGCAGGAGGGAGCUUGGGGGCUGAGGGAGGGGAGGAGGUUUCUGCGCCCCCCAGCAGAGCACCGAAGCGCCGAUGCACCCCCGGGCGUUUGGGGCGCAGCUUUCGCUCUGUGCCUCGCCUUGGUUGGGCAGGCAGCCCCGAGCACAGUGAACCAGCCCCUGAGCUGUUCAAUGAGAGCAACUGCCCAGGCUGGCGUGGAAAUCAAGCCUGUUGGACUAACGUGCCAGCUCGGGGCGACUGGAAGGGGGCUUCUUCCAGCCCAGAACACCCGCUCCUCUCAAAUUAUAAAUGCACAGGGUAGGGAAGUCCGUGUCUGAUAAGAGAUUACUCCGUCGGCUGCAGGCAACAAAUUACAAUGGUUUAUUUAUUUUUUUAUUCUUGCCUGUCCAGCCCUCCUUGGCCAAAUUAACAUUCUGCUCUUGCAAGCGGGUCUCCCCUCCCCUUUAUUUUAUGAAGUAAUCAUUAUUCAUUAGUAGAUUUCGUUAGUCUUUAUGCAAUAAAAUAGGAUGUGAUCUGCAAAUCAAAAGAAAAUAUUAAGACUCUAACUCGUCCUUGGUCCGCACAGGAAAAAAAAAAAGCACAUCCUUGCAUUCUUGGCAGCAAUAAAAUCGUGAUCAGAAAUAGUAGCCAUAUUUCUUUUAAUAUAGAUCUUGACCCAGUGAUUGGAUUUUCUUUUUUUUGUUUGUUUUCAGACCAAGAGAUCAGCUGUCUAAACAGCAGCUUUUUUGAUCGUUGGGCUUUCUGAAAGAAACCUUGCUUACAGCUUCUCACUGACCAGCAGGACGGAACCGUACCUGAGAGGGGAUGGGGGCUCUCUCACAAAAGAAUAUUUGGGGCAGAACCCUGGAACUGGCCACCAGGGACAUCCCAAAUGUCCCCUCCUCCUCAGGGCUCACCCCGACAUCCUCACCCAAACGAAGGCUCUGAACCCAGCCAUCAGCUCGCAAGGCACAACUCACUUUGCAGGCUCAUCAAAAUGCUUUCUGAAGAAAAGAGAACUAAUUAUCCCACGGCUCUAUUUUUUGUUGUCACUCUGUUUGAAAUAACUAUAAAGUCUUCACUCUGCCUAACACUAGGCCCCAACCCGCUGUUUCUUUCUACUUUUCAUCUUGCAAAACCAGUGCCUCCAACCUCUCUGGGGCUCACACAUCCCAUCAAUUUAUCAGGGACACAGUAGCAUGUUUAACCCUUUAGCCCUAGGCAGAAGUUCAUCCAAGGGAUUGGGAAAGUAGAGGCUGGUAUUCUGUACUGCUUUUAUUGGGGGGUGCUGGCAGUGGUUAGUUUGAAAAAUGUUUGCUGUACGUUGCAUCAGAAGUCACAUUCAUGGGACAAGCUUCUAUUAACAAAUACAAGAAUUCCCUCUUUUCUUCUCUUACUUCCUACCUGCCUUUAUUUAUUUAUUUUUGCAUUCACAAAACUAAAGAGAAAGUCACUCCACAGAACACAGAUGGAAUAAAAGGCCAACCAUUCUAAUCCUCACUCUCCCUUUCCCAUUCUUUACUGUUGCCUCAAGCAAUCUGAUGUACUGACGUGUUUGCACUGCUUUCCUUUUUUUUUUUUUUUCUCUUGCUGGCAUUGGAAAAGCCUGUAAAUACCCCAAGAAGAGGAGAGAAUUUUUUCCUUCAGUUCAUUUUCAUAAGAAACAUGAUAAAUAAUACAUGGCACUUUAAUAAGACUUUAUCUGAAUGGUUUAAUGAAAAACAAAUACAUUAUGUAAAGACCCAAUAAAUGCUCUUGGCUGCGCUGAGGCAAUACAGAUUUUCCAGUCCGUUUUCUCCCCAAAGUUGGAACCCCUCAGUGGUGAUUAGAUCCCCACAGAUCUAUCCUGCAAUAACAGCUCAGCCUUUCCCUUAAACUUCAGUUUUCACAGUCAGACACACUGAAGAUCUGCAAAGUACAACAAUGAGAACGAGACCUAAAUCCACAUCAAAAUUAUUUGGAGUCAGGCUCUGUUCUCUGGAUAACUAAACCUGAACAUCUCUCCACCAGUGCAUGCAAACACAAUCACACACGGGGACAAGACCCCUCCCCAUAAACACUGCAACUAUAUUAAGGAGCCCAGAGGAACACUUUCCCAUUGAUAACAUCAGUGCUCCUUAAUCAGGAAUAGGGCAUCCAAUGACCCCAAAUCAAAUGGUAGCAUCAUAUCCACAACCAUUGCUCACUUGAUGACAACACUUUGCCAGCCUUUUAAACAGCAUCUGGGGAUAGCAAAUUUGAAUUCCAUCUCAACAGAGACUGAGAAAGAGCCAUGUCAAGGCCACUAGCUCUGGCAUGAUUCUCCAACAUCAAUAAAUGGGAGAAGUGGGGAAAGAAAAUACCCUUAUCUCUCCAUAAAAAAAAUUUCUGGGCAUUCAGCGUCACAUGGGUUAAUAUGCAUUCAAGGGCCACCCUGCCUGCAUUUAAGCUACAAGGACGCUUAAUGGAAUGGUUAUACAUACCCCACAGGAAGCUGAAAAAGUGCAGGAAAAUUGGCAAUAAAUAAUGUCAUCUUGAAAUGAAACUUCCUUAGGCAGAAGGCAACUACCCAAGUUUUAAUUUGACUCAUAAAAUAAUAUUGUAACUUUUUUUCUUCCCCCAACUUUGCCGGCAAUUUAAAAGAAGAAUGGAAACCAUUUUUUUCUUUUCUCAUUUUCAUAAUUAUUUAUUAUAACUUCCCAAGGCUGUUAACAUAGCAGACAUUCCACUAAAAAAAAAAAUACCUUCUAUAAGAGUUGCCAUACCUCAGAGCAAGAAAGACUCCAGUUCGACAGAAAGAAGGACUUGAACUUCAAUGUAAUCAUCUAUACUGGGGUUAGCUCAGUGGCAAUGUCAAGGUGUAACUUAGAAAUAUUUUACUUUCACUUCCAAAUUUAAUGUGGGGGACAAUAUAGUCUCCAUCUUCAUUAAAAUGAGCAUGAAAAUAUCUUUAGAAAACUUUAUUAUUUAUCUGUAUCAAAAGCACUUUGAGUCACUGACUUGUUCGAACACCUGAAUCAUAUUUAGUUAGUGCUGAUCUCAUUCCACGCACUGUUCUAGCCCCCAGGUCUGCAUCGGUGGGGCCGGACAAACAAAGGUCCCUGACAUUAGACAGUUUACAUUCUAGUGGGUGGGGGAGGGGUGGCAGAAAGUAAAUAAUACAGAGAAGAAAUAAGUACAGUACAAUAGAUGGUGGUGAGUGCUGUGGGAAGCAUAAUAGGCAAGAUCAAGAUCAGGGAAUUAGGGAAACCAGGGUAAGGCAGACAGCAGUGAAAUCUACCUAAAAAGUGCACUUGCUCUGAAAAAAAUGCAGUUUCAGCUUCAAGAAAGCCCCCCUUGCAUCCUGCUCCUUCCAAUCUUAUUGCCUAAGCCUCAACUUUGUUUAAUACAGAUGGUCUCCGACUUGCGAUGGGGUCACAUCUGGAUAAAUCCAUGGUAAGGUGAAAAUAUCCUAUGUCGAAAACAUACUUUCUACUUAUGAUAUUUUCAACUUACAAAGGGUUUAUCAGGACAUACCCCACUGUAAACUGAGAAGCAUGUCUACAUGAAUUCUGGAGUUCUCUUGGGUCAAUCUACUAGGGGUAGCGGUGAGAAGUUUGGCACUUCUAAUGUAGACAUUAAGCUGGCCUGUUGGCCUCUAGAAUGUCUCAGCCCCGAUGGUCCCUCUGAGCUGUAUUUUGCAGAAGCUCCAUUUCUCAGACACAGUUUCUCUAGGCAAAACACGAUCACUCCACACUAAGUCAGAGGGUCCAGGAUUUUGGCAGCGCUCAAAUGAGAACAGCGCUCCUUUUUCAGAGUAAAGGGCUUUGUCCCAGGCAGAACCAAUUCCAACCAUUCAGCAGCAAUUGCUUUGCAUGUAAUGACAGGAUCGAGAUUAGAGCCUGCUUCUGUGUAAAGGACCCUCAAACUCCUCUAGCUUUCUAGCCUGGGUGUGGGUUGUCAGUGAGUCCAGGACUAAAAAUAAACCAUGUUUGCAAGAGCAGAAAUACAAAUGCAGGCAACACCCAGUUCACAACUAGCUCCCACUACAAAUGCGCUUUUCAAAAUUACAUUGGUACUUUAGAACACUUUAUGGCCAUCUUUUGCCUAAAAGACUGACAUAGUUAACAAAUAAAAUCAAAUAAUUAAAUGAAUAAAAUGCCUACCAAUAAUAUAUAGAUUUCACAUCACUCUGGAGAAAUGGGUAACCUGAAACACAGAUGGUGGGAAUCAAAACUGGUAGUCCUGGAGAUGAUAUUAAUAUUUUGGUGCUCACUAUCAAAAUCUAAAAUAUGCACAUCUUUCAAAGUAACUAUUCUAAUUCUAGAUAUCUGUCCUGCUGAAAUACUUGAGCUAGAUACAUGACACAUAAACCAGGAUAUUCACUCCAGCAUUGCUUGUAAAAGCAAAUAGAGUUGACCCACGUACAAGACAGAUUUGAACUAUACAGAACCACAUAUGCGCAAAUUCUCUGCCACCUGAGAGACCCAGAGACAGCAAGACCAAACCCUUAUCUUCCUCGUCCUCCUCCUUCUCCUCAGCCUACCUCAUGUAAAAUGACGAGGAUGAAGACAUUUAUCAUGAUCCACUUCUACUUAGUCAAUAGUAAAUAUGCCUUCUCUUCCUUAUGAUUUUCUUAAUAUUUUCUUUACCCUAGCUUACUUUAUUGUAGGAAUACAUAUAUAAUGCAUAUAACAUACAAAAUAUGUUUUAAUCCACUGUUGGCUUCAAGUCAAUAGUGGGCUAAUCAUAGUUUUGGGGAAAUCAAAAGUUACACACAAAUUUUGGACUGGGCAUGUUGGCUCACGUCUGUAAUCCCGGCACUUUGGGAGGCCAAGGCGGGUGGAUCACUUAAGGACAGGAGUUCCAGAUGAGACUGGCCAAGAUGGUGAAACCCUGUGUCAACCAAACAUACAAAAAUUAGCCCUCAGGCACAGUGGCACACAUCGGUAGCCCCAGCUACUUGGGAGGCUGAGGCAUGAGAAUCACUUGAACCCAGGAGGCGGAGGUUGUAGUAGGCUGAGAUCAUGCUACUGCACUCCAGCCUGGGCAACACAGUGAGUCUGUCUCAAAAAAAAAAAAAAAAAGAGCUAUACACAAAUUUUCUGCUUUGUGGUGGGUUGAUGCCUGUAACCCCCAUGUUGUUGAAGGGUCAAAUGUAAUAAACAGCAAUAGGGGAUAAAUAAAACAAGGUAUAGCACAUGCAUGCAAUGCACCAGUUAAAAAGAAUGAGGGGCUUCUGUGUGUCUUUCCUUGGAAAAAUCUCUAAGAAAGUUCUGUAAGUAGUUUCAGGAUAUAUAUAAUAAAAUUUCACAUGUGAAAAAUCAAACCAAAACCAACAGCAAAACUCCACAAUUCUUUAAAAAUAUGUGUGUGCAUGCAUAUAAACAUCCACAGAAGUAUGUGCAUAUGCAUGUGCAUAAAAUAGGCAUACAUGCAGUCAUGUGAAAUGCAUACAAAAGGGCCCGGAAAGACAUAAGUCAAUCCAAUAAAUGCUUUUGAAUCUAGGGUAAUAGAGGAGGGGCUAUUGGGGGGAUUUCAAUUUUUACUCUGUACAGAUUUAUGUUGCUUAGAUUUUCACAAUAAGAAUGUGUCUGUGUAUUACUUUUAUAAUAAAAUGAAACAGUUAUAUUAUUAUCAUUGCUACUACAACUACCACUAUGACUGUUGUUAUUAUAAAGACCCCAGGCUACAUGUUCCUAAAGAAUAAUUUUUUCCUAAUGGUGGUAACUUUCCCUGGCUAGUACAUGAAAACCUGCUUAAAGCCACUACUGAGUUGCAAUAUUCUGGAUGAUUAACAUCCACAACAAAAAAGGGAAUGGACUAAGCUACAUAGCACCUUAGUGUCCAUAGAGGAUUUCAGUAACCCAGAAUCUCGUAUCCCUUUACAGCAUAACUUCUUAGGGACAAUGUUUUCUGCUUAUCUCGUCAGAAAUCAAAAUAAAAAUACCCACAUCUUCAUCCUACCCCUUCCUCGAGUGCCAAGGCUGCUGAGAAACGGACUGCCAGGUUGGAAACCUGCAUACGUUUCUGGAGAAGACAAGGGAUGCAACUGAUUUGCAAACCCAGGGGUAUUGCUGGGUACAUACCGAUAAUACUACUUUACCCACAAGCAUGCUGAGACUCAGAAGGCUUAGGUAAGCUGUCUGCUUCUAAAUGUUACAGCGAGUGUUAAUAGUGACUUCCUUGUCUAUUUUCUGUCUAACCUCCACACCCCCGACCUGUACACAGCGGCUUGCACAUGUCCUAUGAGAAUGGUAUUUUCCCCCCUUAAUGUUGCAUCCUCAUCACCUUAGAAUAGCACGUGGCUUACUGUAGUGGAUGCUUGUUAAAUAUUAGUUGAGCGAAUGAGAAAAUUUGAAAAUGAAAAUAUUAGUCCUCUUCCAUUUUCAUGUUUCUGAGAUUCAUUUAAUUUACUAGUUGGUUAAUGCAUUUAUUCAAUCGUCAGCUACCUUUUGAAAAUAGUGUCUGUGCGAAGCAUGGUGCUGGCCUUGGAGAUACAGUGGUCAACUAAGAAAGGACAUGGAGCUUACAUUCCAGAUUAAUGAGAUAUUUUAAGGUCACCUGGUUAAAAAAUUACCUUUUGUAUCUCAGUAUCAGUGUGCGAACCAGCAUCUUCUCAAUAGCAGGCAACAAAUUAAAAUACUGAUAUGAAUUGGAUUAUGAGGCUAAUUGAAAACAAUAUUAGCUAUCCAUACUCCCAAUUUCAAAUAUUGGUGUUCAUCAAAAUAGCCUCAUUUUCUCACUAAUUGCCUUUAUGAUACAUGCUUCAUAUUUGAAGUCAUAAAAUGUAUCUUUUAUCCUGCUCCUUUUAUCUCUCUUAUAGAUGGAAUUUCCUGUAACAUUUAUUUCUAAAAUGGUUUCUACUGGUGUAAAUGUAUGUAUGUAUUUGAGAAAGUGGUUUGCCAUGUAACCCUGGGAAGCACAGAUUAUAGGUUUACUCUCCUAUGAAAGAAAAAUAAUAAGAAUUAAAAGAGCUUAUUCUGGGGCCACAGAGUUUAUCCUAACCUUGUCCUACCUUCUUGAUAAUGAAAUGGAUGAUAAGGACUGGGGAGACAGACCUCCUGGUUCUGAAUCUUUGAACUACAGCAGACUAGCUCAGUGGCUUUUGGCAAGUUAUUUAAAACUUCCUGAGUCUUGAGUCCUUAUUUAUAAAUGACACAAGCAUGAAUAUUUUUAUCUCACAAGACUAAAUUUGAGAGCAUGGGAUAAUACACUAAAUUUCUUAGUGCAACCCCUUAGCACCUAGUAAGUGCGUAAUACAUAUCAGCUUCAAGGAUAAUUGUGAUAAUGAUGAUGGUGGUGGUGGUGAUGCUGAUGGUCAUGAUCACGGUGAUGAUGAUGGUGAUGACUAUGAUUAAAGUGAUUGUAAUAAUGAUGGCAUUGAUCACCAUGAUGAUCACGAUUAUCAUAAUGAUGGUGAUGUGAUUAUGGUGAUGAUGAUGAUGAAGGUGAUUGUCAUAACGAUGAUGAUGAUGUUGAUAAUCAUAAUGGUGGUGACAGUGAUAGUCUUGUUGAUGAUGAUGGUGAUGGUGAUGAUGAUAAUGGUGGCAGUAACGUUGGUAUCAGUAAUGAUAAUCUGGCUAUUGUUGAUUGUAAACACAAAAGUAAGGCAAUGUACAUUGACCUUUGUGGGAAAGACAGCCAGCCCUGUUCUCUUAGGCUAGAAACAAAGGGAGCCACCUCUUUAAUUUUUCUAAGGAGAGCCCACUGUUACUUCAAAUCUUGCUUUCUCCCUCAACUCUAGUGUUUGACUAAGGAAGCAAUUGUAAUACCCAUCAUCAUCCUGACUGCUUUUUCUUCUUUAUAACUGAGCCACAGACAUCUCUAAGGAGGCUCUCUUAUAUAGCAGGCAGGAUCUGGCAUGAGUGUUCUUCUGGGUAACUCUGUGGGAUGUUAAUAAUUUAUGAUCUCUUUAGUGAAAACACUAACCUCCAGGGUGCCCAUACUUCCUCUAAUAUCACUCAGAUUCUCAGCAGGCUGUGACUCUCUUUUCUCCAACCCCUGCCUCUCACCAGACAAAUGAUUCCAAUGUUGUUCCCCUGCAUAGCCAGUGUCCUAUCAAGAUGUACACACAAGUCCAAGAAAUAUUUUAAGAAGUAACAACAAAGUUUUUGUUUUUUCGUUUUUUUUUUUUUGUUGUUGUUGUUGUUGUUGUUGUUUUUUGAGAUGGAGUAUUGCUCUAUCACACAGGCUGGCGUGCAGUGGUGCCCUCUCAGCUCACUGUAACCUCCAUAUCCUGGGUUCAAGUGAUUCUCCUGCCUCAGCUUCCAAUGUAGCUGGGAUUAUUGGCAUGUGCCAUCAUGCCUGGCUAAUUUUAGUAUUUUUAGUAGAGAUGGCAUUUCAUCAUGUUGGCCAGGCUGGUCUCGAACUCCUGACCUCAAGUGAUCUGCCCAGCUCAGCCUCCCAAAGUACUGCGGUUAUAGGUGUGAGCCACUGCACUGCGGCCAGUAAUAGCAAAGUUAAGAAUUACUUAGCAUUUACUGUGUGGUAGAUACUAUGCCAAGGGUUUUAUAUUUAUUAUCUUAUUUCAUCUUCCUAGAAAUCUGAUAAACGAGGUGAUAUGACUCCUCCCAUUUCACAGGUGAGUAAGCUGAGGGUGACGGAAGAUAAAUAACUUAUUUAAAUGUAUACCCUGAGGCCCUAACUCAGGUGAGUGUGAUUUUCUCACCUUGGAUCUUCUACUUUAUUGCAUGAUGCAUUCCUUAAAUGGUUUUCCAAGUAGAAUGUCUGAAAGUUGAACAAUUGCUGUGAGAGUUCUCUGAGAGUGCGUUCUUUCUCCAGAAAUUAAAUUGAAUUACAGGAUCCCAAACUACAGUUCAGGUAGAUGCCGCCUCCCCAGGGCGCUUGUGGGUAUCUUAAACCACCCUAGGAUUUCCCUGUUAUAUGGAAACCAGGGUGAAGGUAGAAAAAUCUCAGGCCUUGAUCCAACAUCUAAAGGAGACCAUGUUACUGUUCUGCUCCUUCCCUUCCACAGAACAUGAGGAAAACAGAUCUCAGCCUGCAAAUACACAUCAGAUUGGUUUGGAUUUUUUGUUCAACAGCCAGUCACACAUCACUCAUUUCAUUUGGGCUACAUCCUCACAAACUAUGUGUAUUUUGAAAAUACACAUAGGGAAAAACACUUUAAGAAGCAGAAAAAUGUACACAAAAUGUGGGGGGGAAGGUAAUAUGCAAAUCCAUACUUUUUGGGUAAUACCCCAUAUAUGUAAAAUCUAUCAUAAACUAAUUUGUGUUAUCCAGUUCUAAACUUAUCUCUUUCUAAAUUUAAACCUAUAGAUCUACAUAGAUAUUUUCAAAGCUUUGAGGAAACACCCAAAUGGGGUGUUGAGAGGUGACUUUUAUCAUUUUUUAAAAUUGUCAAUCAAUCCAAGUUUUUAAUAAUGAACGUAAAGUACUUUCGUUAUAAGGAAAAAUAAAGGUUUUAUCUUCUUCCAUUUAAGUAGCCCAAGUCACAGACUGAAAACACUUCUUGCCUAUUACACCCCAGGUCAGAGCAUCACCAUGGCCUGUGGGGAAUAAGGGCUUGGUCCACCAAGGAUCAGCUUGCACCUACUCGCUGUCCUGGCCCUUUAGAGCUAGUUUGAUGGUGAUUCUAGAAAGAGAAAGAGAGCACCCUGGCAUAGCUCCUGCACACUGCUGCUCUCCAUGGAAUCCUAAUUAUAGUCACCAAAGAAGUUUCUUUCUUGUCUCUCCAGGUCCUGUGUGACAGCUCAUCAUUCUGGUGGCAUCUUCGUCGGGAAAACCUCAUUUCUAUUUUUAUUAUGAGGACUGCUUGUCUUUACUAGCUCUUUGUACAUAGAUCAAGACAUUAUGAAGACCUGCACUUUCCUCGGGCAUAUGAGAAUCACUAAUUUUCUCUCUCUAUUAAGUACUGUGCUAACUCCACUGGCUUCACCAAUAUUUAUGUCACACUCUGGGACCAUGAUGAUCCUGGAACAAAGUUAACCUCUUUUGUGCCACACAUCCUCACACUCCCACAGCUUCUAUCAUGCAUUGCCUGCGCUCAUGUUCAAUGAGGAAAGUGGUUAUGUAGCUUCACCCCGACCUAUUUAAGCAGUACCUUCUUUAAAGUAUGAAGCCCAGGGCCAGGCAUGGUGACACACACCUGUAAUCCCAGCACUUCGGGAGGCUGAGGUGGGUAGAUCAUCUGAGGCCAGGAGUUCAAGACCAGCCUGGCCAACAUGGCUAAACCCGGUCUCUACUAAGAAUACAAAAAGAAAAUUAGCCAGGCAUGGUGGCGGGCACCUGUAGCCCCAGCUACUUGGGAGGCUGAGGUGGGAGAAUGGUGUGUACCCAGGAGGCGGAGCUUGCAGUGAGCCGAGAUCAUGCCACUGCAUUCCAUCCUGGGUGACACAGUGAGACUCUGUCUCAAAAAAAAAAAAAAAAAAAAACCACGAAAAUUAGCCAGGCAUGGUGGUGGGCACCUGAAAUUCCAGCUACACAGGAGCCUGAGGCAGGGAGAAUUGCUUGAACCCGGGAGGGGAGGCUGCAGUGAGCUGAGAUGGCAUCACUGCACUUCAGCCUAGGUGACAGAGCAAGACUCCAUCUCAAAAAAAGUAAAUAAGAAGGUAUGAAAGUAUGAAACCCAAAUUCCCACUCUGACACUUUUGAGUAUUUUCACAAGAUAGGCUUUUAUUUAAAGAAAUAAAGCGGCAAGAAUCUAGACCCUUGGGAUCCUGUGAAGCCACGUGACGUUUGUACGAUGCUGAAGGUGGAAGGAUGUGAAACUUCCUCAUGUCACCCUCAACCAAAAUCAUAUCUUACAAUGGCGAUUGUGCUACAAGGGUUUACCUAUUAGAGCUUACUCCAUGCUAGACAUUCUGAACAUGAUUUACAUACAUUAUUUCAUUUAAUCCCUAUGCCAGCAUUGGUAUUCAUGCAUUCACUCAUUCAUUCCUUAUUUAAAUCAUCUAUAAAUAUUUAUAGAGUGGUAAAUUAUGUUCUAAGAAUUGUACAGUGUUCCCAGUAUGCUGAUUAAAGAUACAAACAAGCAGACAAACAAACAAAACUCAGUCUACUUACCCGGCUGGAACUUAAAGUCUAUUGGCAGAGACACAGUUAAAAAUCAAUCAGUUUCUUAUAAAACUCAUGUCCUAACAUGUUCUUUCUUGAGCCCGUAUCUCAGAGAAAUGAAAACUUGUGUUCACACAAAAAUCUGCACUUGAAGAUUUGUAAUAGUUUUAUUUAUAAGAACUAAAUCCAGGGAUUAGUCCAGAUAUCCAUCAACAGAUGAACAGUUAAACAAACUGUGGUACAUCCAUACCAUGGAAUACUACACAGCAACGAAAAGGAAUAAGUUGUUUAUACACACAGCAGUUUCAAUGAGUCUCCAGGGAAUUAUGUUGAUCAAAAAAUAUCAACGCCUAAAAGUCAGGUACUACCUGGGUCCAUUUCUUGAAAUGUCCAAGCUUUUAAAUGGAGAGAAGAUUAGUGUUUGCCAGAAAUUAGGAAGUGGGAGUGGGAGGGGGGGUAGUUGUAAAAAGAAAAACAGAAGGCAUCCAGUGGUGAUGGAAAUGUUUGUUAUCCUGACUGUGGUGUUGGAUGCCCAAACCUACAUGUGCCGUAAAAUUGUAUAAAACCAAAUACAACUACCACCGCUGCACACACACACACACACAUACACACACACAAUUAAUGCAAGUAAAACUGGGGAAAUUUGAAUAAAAUCAGUGGGUUAUACCAACAUCAAUAUCCUAGAUGUGAUCACUGUACCUUAAUUUUGCCAAAUGUUACCAUUGGGGAAAACUGUGUAAAGGGAACAUUGGAACUCUCUGUAUUAUUCCUUACAGCUGCAUGUGAAUCUGCAAUUAUCUCAAUAAAAAUUCCAAUUAAAAAUCAAAUUACACAGUUAAUUUUCUGAGGCCCACUGUGGUAAAUGCUAUAAAGGAAAAGAACAGGUUGCUAAAAUAAAAAAAAAAAAAAGUAAGGAAUCUAUAGAUAGCAAAGGGCUGGAUUGAGACUGAGGGUGAGGGAAGGCUUUUCUGAAGAGGCGGCAUUUCAUUGGGCAAUGGAGGGACGAGGCGUUGGCGAGGAGAAAGGUGGGUGGGAAAAUGUUCCAGAAAAGGAAACAGUGUGUGGCAGGGAUGUAAGAAAGGGUGUGCAAGCUCAGGCAAUAGAGAAGGAACAUCCAGUACAAGAAGGCAGUGGCCAAAAGAUGAGGGGCCAUCUUAAAGCUCUAACACCCAGGCAGUGACCACCCUGAACUUGUGCAGAGUUAUUAUUUUGCCAUUAAUUCUGCUGCAAUCCAGUAAGGCACAGAUAAACCGUGAGGUCGCACAGCUAGGAAGUAUCAGAUCCAGGCUUAAACACCCAAACUACUACUCUGUCCUCUGCCUCUCUUAAAAAACAUCUUUAUGAAGUUAAAAAGGGUCAGGAAUGGUGGCUCAUGCCUGUCAUCCUAGCACUGUGGGAGGCUGAGGUGGGAGGACUGCUUGAGCCCAGAUCGAGAUCAAUCUGGACAAUAUAGCAGGACCUCAUCUCCACAAGAAGUUAAAAAAUUAACCGGGCGUGGUGGUGAGUGCCUGUGGUCCCAGCUGCUCAGGAGGCUGAGGUGGGAGGAUUGCUUGUGCCCAAGAUUUCAAGGCUGCAGUGAGCUGUGAUAGUGCCACUGUACUUCAGCCUGGGAUACAGAGCAGGAGUCUAUAUCUUAAAUGAAUGAAUAAAGUUAAACAUAAACAUACUUCUCAAUCCAACAACACCACUCUUAGGAAUUUACCCAGGAGAACUAAGAAUUGUUAUACAGAAUUACCUGUACAUAAAUGCUUACAGCAACUGUUUCAUAAUCAGCAAAAACUGGAAACAACACAACUGCCCUUCAACUAGUGAAUAAACUAUGGUGCAUCCAUACAAUAGAAGGCUACUCAGCAAUAAAACGGAAGAAAGAACUACUGAUACAUGCAACUACCUGGAUGAAUCUCAAAAUCCAUUACACAGAGAUAGGCAGGCCAAAAGGCUACCUACUUCUGAUUCCAUUUGUAGGACAUUCUGGAGACACCAACACUAUAGGGACAGAAAAGAGAUUGGCAAUUCCCAGGAUCUAGAGUUGGGGACUAACUAUAACCAGUCCCUAGGAAAGUUUUUGGAAUGACGAAUAUGCUCCAAAUCAUGUGGAUGCUGGUGGUUGUUACAUCACUGUAUGCACUUAUUGAAACUUGAAGAACUGUGUGCUAAAAUGAGUACAUUUGACCAUGUGUAAAUUAUGCCUCAGUAAACCUGACUUUGAUGCAAUGAUCUGAUGAGAUGAUCUAGAUCAAGACCAGAAGAGAUCCUUUCUCACUUCUGGCAAGCUCUGGGUGACCCUAGGAAGCAACAAUAUGAAAGUCUUAUUUUAGAAGAUGCCAAGUAAGAAAAACUGAGUAAGGAUACAGCUUCUGUGCAGGGUGAGGCUGAGUGGUGUUUACGGAGAGGCGAUCUAGGGGACGGAGAUACAGAAUGUCGAGGGUGUUUCCCUGGCCAACACAGAGGGGAGGUGUUAUGGAAGUGCCAACCAUUUUCCUCCACCCAUACCACUUUCUUAGCAAAUUCAUACACCCUUCCACCACGUAAGAGGUACCAUCAUCUACCUAGUGAGCUCCCCUAAAUCUUUCCAGCUGUGGGAACUCAUGGGGGACACUGAUCCAUGUUGGUUCAAUGAGAUCUUCUCCCUCUCAGGAAUGCUGGAUUGGAGUGUAGAGACUGCGGAGGCAGACUGGGGGACCAGGCAGGAAGGCCAUGAAAAACUGAAAGCUAGACCAAGCACUAGGGGAUGAAUGAACAGAGAGAGACAACCAGAGGGAGGCCCACAAAGUCAAAAUGCUUAAUCCACCACUAUCGAAAACCAUGUGGAGAUUCCUUAAAGACCUAAAAGUAGAACUACCAUUUGAUCUACCCAGAGGAAAAGAAGUCAUUAUACAAAAAAGAUACUUGCACAUGCAUAUUUAUAGCAGCAUAAUUCACAAUUGCAAAAAUGCGGAACCAACCCAAAUGCCCAUCAAUCGAUGAAUGCAUUGAAGAAACUGUGAUACACACACACACACACACACACACACACACACACACACACACGAUGGACUACUCAACCAUAAAAAAGUAAUGAAUUAAUGGCAUUUGCAGCAACCUGGAUGAGAUUGGAGACUAUUAUUCUAAGUGAAGUAACUCAGGAAUGGGAAACCAAACAUUGUAUGUUCUCACUUAUAAGUGGGACCUAAGCUAUGAGAAUGCAAAGGCAUAAGAAUGACACAGUGGACUUUGGGGACUCAGGGAGAAAGGGUAGUGAGAAAGGGUGGGAAGGAGGUGAGGGGUAAAAGCCUACAAAUUGGAUGCAGUGUAUACUGCUUAGGUGAUGGGUGCACCCAAAUGUCACAAAUCACCUGUGAAGAACUUACUCAUGUAAUCAAACACCACGUGUUCCCCCAAAAACCUGUGGAAAUAUUUUUUUUAAAGAAUGAUAAUGGGGAAAAGAAAGCUUAAUCAACCAGAGAACAGACAGCAGAAGCCUCCAGGUAGAGGGUGCAAGAGCAAAAGACAGCAGAAAAUCUGCCUGGUAACUUUUAAUAUCCAUGUAUUUCCCCAUAUUUCAUGCAAUUGAGUUUUGUGAAAUAUUUUUUGAUUCUUAUAACGAGAUAUCUUCAAACAGGGUGAGUUUCUGUUCCUUACAAUUAAAGAAUUCCUAAGACCCUGUGCCUUGCAAUGAGUUGGGGGUGAACAAAUAUCUGUGGCACCCAGGAAUAAAUGAAAUCCCCUUUGCAAACGCCAUUACUUGUUCCUCUGUUAGUCUGAGCAAAUGCCGGAAAGAAAACGUGUUUGGGGCGGUGCGUGGUGGAUUCUGUCCUCCUUUUUAGAAAUCGCUUUAGUAGGCCGGGUGCGGUGGCUCACACCUGUAAUCCCAGCACUUUGGGAGGCUGAGGUGGGUGGAUCACCUGAGCUCAGGAGUUUGAGACCAGCUUGGGCAACAAAGAGAAACCCUGUCUCUACAAAAAAUACAAAAAAAUUGCCAGGUGUGAUGGCAUGUGCCUGUGGUCCCAGCUACUCUGCAGGCUGAGGUGGGAGGAUUGCUGGAGCCCAGGAGGUAGAGGUUGCAGUGAGCUAUAAUUGUGCCACUGACCUCCUGUCCAGCCUGGGUGACAGAGCAAAACCUUUUCUAGGAAAAGAAAAGAAAAAUAAAAGGAAAAGAAAAUAAAAAUAAAAGGAAAAGAAAAGAAAGGGAGGGAGGAAAAGACAGAAAUAAAGAUUAUUUUGGUCUGCAGAGAGGAGGUCAAGGUUAUCUCCUGGAUUCAAACUUAAGCAAACUAUAAAUAACCCACUUUUCCCUCAAUAGACUCUCCCCUGACAGUCACUCAGUUUAUGAUGACUGAUUUGCAUAUUGCUCUCAGUGUCUGGACACUGUCUUCUCAUCUAGACUAGAAACCCCAUGAAGAAAAGAACAUGCUGUGUAUUUUCUCUGUCUUCCAACACCAGAUAUUGUGCCCAGAAAAUGGUAAUAAGAAUAGUAGUUAACACUCACAUAAUGGUCUCUGUGUGUGUGUAUGUGUGCAAUCCUUUUUCACUACAAACUUCGGAGAGAUAUACAGUGUUAGAACUACCUGUGUUUUAUAGAAGAGAGGACUAGGCCAGGCGCAGUGGCUCACACCUGUAAUCCCAGCACUUUGGGAGGCCAAGGCAGGCGGAUCGCCUGAGCUCAGGAGUUCGCGACGAGCCUGGGCAACACGGUGAAACUCCGUCUCUACUAAAAUACAAACAAUUAGCUGGGCGUGGUGGCGGGUGCCUAUAGUCCCAGCUCUGGGGAGGCUGAGGCAGGAGAAUCGCUUGAACCCGGGAGGCGGAGCUUGCAGUGAGCCGAGAUAGCACCACUGCACUCCAGCCUGGGCGACAGAGCAAGACUCUGUCUCCAAAAAACAAACAAACAAACAAACAAACAACAAAGAAGAGAGGGCUAAAAUAUAAAGCAGGCAAGUGUUUUGGCACAAAGUCACCUGGCUCUCACAUAAUAAGGGAAGCAACCCAUCUGCCUCCAAGUGUAUGCUAAACUACCCCCUAAGCAGAAGCUCAUUAAAUACACAUGCAAUUGCACUGGGGGCGGUGGCUCACGCCUGUAGUCCCAACAGUUUGGGAGGCUGGCACAGGCAGAUCACUUAAGGUCAAGAGUUUGAGACCAGCUUGGCCAACACAGUGAAGCCCUAUCUCUACUAAAAAUAUAAAAAUUAGCCAGGUGUGGUGGCACACACCUGUAACCCCAGCUAUUCAGAAGGCUGAGGCAGGAUAAUUGCUUGAACCCAGGAGGCGGAGGUUGCAAUGAGCCAAGAUUGUGUCACUGCACUUCAGCCUGGGUGAAGGGGACUCACUCUGUCUUGGAAGGAAAGAAGGAAGGAAGGAAGGAGGGAGGGAGGGAGUGAGGGAGGCAGGGAGCCAGGGAGGCAGGGAGGCAGGGAGGCAGAGAGGGAGGCAGGGAGGGAGGGAGGGAAGGAAUCACAUGCAAUUGACUCAAGAGGCCCAGAGUAGCUGCCAUUAUGUACUCUUUCUUUAGUGACUAUAAAUAUGGCCAUAGGAUAGUGGUUCUCAAGCAGGGGGUGAUUUUGCACCCCAGGGGAUACUGGACAAUGUUUUGACUCCAAGAGGAAAGGGUGUUACUGCUGUCUUAGUGGGGAGAGGCCAGGGAUUUUGCCAAACAUCCUACAAUGGAUAAAACUCGUGUCAAUGUACUAUCAAUCUGGUCCAAAACGUCAGCAGGGCCCCUCUAGAGAAAUAUGUUCUAGGAUGCCAGGUGACUGCCCCAGCCACUCUGUCCUUACGUGGGGAGGGCUCUCCGAAGGUAGCUGCCCUACUGAGAUGUCACUCAAGCUUGUCCCUGGACUACAGCCAUAGUGGCGUUUAUCACAUGAUGAUCUCCACGUGGACUCCCUGUCACAGAACCUAAUGGCAGAGGCACAUGGGCCUCCCUCUUAUCUACCAACACCUUAUUAUUCUCUUUGGACAAAGGUGAGGUGAUCCUGGGGAUCCCUUAGACAUUGUGCAGAUACUGUGAAUGUCUUUCUUAACCAACAGGUUGGGGAUGACCUACUCUUAAUAGUCUUAGGGUCUGUGGUGGGAGAAGAAGGACUGUAUUCUGGAAGGCAGAACACCCAGAUCUAAGUGAAGCUGGGGAAGUUACCUAAGUCCUCUGAAACACAAGUUUGCUCAUUUGCAAUGAAGACAAGCCUGGAUGGAUGAGGAGAACAGCUGAAUUCAGUCAAGGUGUACAUCAUGUUUUCCUUCGUGUUUGCAAAGAACCAAAACUCUGUGGUCAAUGAAGUCAAACUCGGCCAGGAUUCACAAGCUGGCUCUCUUUCCAUAGCAGGCACAAUCUGUUUUGAAUACAGAUCCAAUCGCAGAGGGAACAAAACACCCUCAGAGCAGUUGAUGUGGCUCUGGCCAUGGAGUCAGCAAAUGCAACAUCUGCCGAUAUGGCCACCUUGGCUGCCAUAUUUUUACCAGGCCCACUGGUUUCUCAAAGGUCAUACCUGAUCAGGACCAUAAUGAGCCAAUGAUCAAUUUCCCUUUCAGUCCUCAUGAGUCCUUGAGGGCUGGCUCUUUAGAGAUAGAAAGCUUGGCCAUUUCUGGAAGUUGCCUUUCCUUGUGGGAUUUCACAUAAGAGAAAGAGGAACUCUAAGCUCUUUCCAGAGAAGCACUCAUUCAGGUCAGGCAACAUCAGGGCGAGCUUACAUCGCACAUUAUGCCUGGUCUGCUAGUUCAGAGAAUGAUGUGACCACAGAUAGCCUGACGCCCCCAGCUCACCUCCAUGCCAGGCCAUCCCUCCUCUCUGUUCACAUAACAUUUUAUUUUGACGUCUAAUGUGGCCCUGGCUAUAAUAUAGUAUUAGCCUGUCACUUUACCCCAAAGCCAGCGAGCACCAAUAGGACAGGGCUGGUUUCCGUGGCCACUGCAACCUGGACGCUGCGCUCAUGCCUGAGUGUGGUGAGGACUCAGUAAAUGCCUGCUGAAUAAAUGAAUAACAGAAAGCCUGGCCUACGCACAGAGAAAUGAAUUCAAGAGCAAAGCCCCAAAGAGACCACCUGGUGAAAAGCAGAAAAUAUCAUUAACUGAAAACAAGACAUUUCUGAGAAAUCCGCGUUUCAGCUUUACCAGAGAGACACUGUACCACUUUGCCCAAGUGACAUGUUAUAAACAGAGAAAAUGCAGCAUUUAUUUCUAUUACACUGAAGCUUCCUCUGUGUAAGUCAGAGAGGGUAGGCACUCAGCAUGGGGUCCCCCAUGGCCAAAGAUCCAUGUUUAAAAAAAAAAAAAAGAAAGAAAGAAAAGUAAAGAAAUAUAUUUAAAAAAACAAAAGAAUCUCCAGAAACCUAUGUCACUUUUAGAAUCAGAUAAAAUAGGACUUUUUAUCCAUCUGUCAUCAGUCUUUAGAUUUUCAAAUCCAGCUCCUAAGAGAAAAAUAAUCAAAUAUUUUUUAAGAAAAAAAAAAAGCCAGAAGAAAGCAAUUGAACAAUCAAAUUUUAACUAUCUUCACUCUCUAGCCCUGGUCAGAAUAAUUCCCUUUCGACAAGAUAAAUUUAGGCUGAGAACAAGACAGCCUUGGCCCAGCUCCAUAACUCAUUGGCAGCUUUAAUCUUCAGAAUGAAUAUCAGUGUACAUUUCAGGUUUUAUUGCAUUUUUUAAACAAAUGGUAUUUUAAGUUCAAAGUGAAUACAUCAUGAGUUGGCAAUUUGUAAUAUGUUUUCACUGAAAAGGAAAUAAAAAUAAAAUUCCUUUAGACUUUUUGUCAUGAAUUGCAGACUUGCAAAAAGACUGGUUAUAGAGAAUGUAGGAUAGGAAAGGAUACAAACAGAAGUCAAUAUGAAAUAAAUGCAUCCCACAGACAGUCAUGAUAAAUUUUACUGAACACUAAAAGGAUGAAUACACUUUCUUAAAAGGAUAUGCUGGCAAUAUUGGACAGAUCUAUAUGAUGUAAAUAAAUAUAUUUAGUCAAUCAUCUAAAUGGUUGGCCUUCAAAAUGUCCAACACCCUCUGGCUUGCGAAUGUCACAUAUACAUAGUAAUCUUUACGUAGAUAUUUUGAUCUUGGGUAAAUUUAAGACUUGACCAUCUAGAGACGCUGACGGAGGUUUGAUCUCUCUUUAAGCAUUAUGGAACACAUGUCUAAUUAGCUGGCAUACUUGCAAUUCAAUCAAGGGGUUUGUGAAUAGGCACACAUUUGCAACUGGGCAGUUCGUUGAAUGUAUAUACCAAGUAUAACCAUAUCAACCAUUUCCAACUUAAAACCAUGUGCAUGGAAUUUACCUUACAAUUUUGGAAACCAAGCAGAGCCAAACACCACUAUGGAUUCAUUAAGCAACCAAUUCAGCUGCGUAUGGAAUCAACUGAAUGAUAGGUUAUGCUAACAUUAUUCUUCAUCCACCACCAAUAAGGAGCUGACAUAGAAUUCUUGCCUCUUUUCACUAAAAUACUAAUGUCUUAGUAUCCUUUUUUUUGCCUGUCAUUUUCUCCUACUAGACUUUCAUACCCUUUUUCUUCUCCAGUUAGUCACUUUCUUCUUUAAUAAGAAUGUCUCUAGAAGAGCUGCAAAGUGUUCUCAAACACUGAGGUGGGAAUUCUUAUGUUAACUAGUACACUAAUUUCAUUUCAACUGAUAUUUCUGUUUUCUAUGUUGGACUAAACUUCCUCAUGCUAUGCUAAAUAAAUAUCUUGACCAUUCUUUGCCUAUAGAAGUCCUUGGCUUUGAUUUUUGGAGGGGUAUCUGCCCUGGUAGACUUCUCUCAAGCUUCUUGGGCCUUUAAGGAACCCUACUACUGAGGCUAAGAAGUAAUGAGCUUUCAGGUUUAAAUACCUGGAUUUUAUGAACAUCUAGAUUAUUAGAACAUCUAGUUUAGGAUCCCAGAUUAUGAACAUCUAGGUUCAAUUACCACUAGCUACACUGACGAUUGGGGCUUCAUCCCAAUUAAAUGGUGUCUUAUUCACUUUGAUUAUUAGAAUAACUUUCUUCUGGUGGCACAGAGAAUAUACAACAUCCCACCCAGAGAUGGGUGGGAGAUGUAGGCAGGCAAUUCAGAAAAGGUUUCCUAAAGAAGGAGAUACCUACAUACAAACCACAUUGGAUCUUCCCUGAGUAACCAUAGAUGCAUUGCAGUAGGAUAUCAUGAUAUUUUGCUUCUGAAAAUCCAUCCUCAUCUUUGUUAAUAACCAACAGAUACCAUUCCUCCAGGAUGAAUAACGUGAAAAAAAAUCAUUAAAUAAAAGUCGGUUAAUUGCAUUUCUUAAGAAAUCCAACUUUUUAAUGUUUCUUCUGAGAAGAGAACAGCAGUAUAGUCAAAGGAUCAAUUAUCUUUCUUAAAAAAAUGCAGAAUACAAUGUUUGCUAUUCUUAAAGGGCUGCAGACAAAUUCCCACUUCUUUCAAUAAGAAUAACUUGAAAAAGAUGCAAAGUUAUACCAUCUACAAUUUGCUGCACACAAGCUGCUUUUGAUUAUAUUGCCUCACAAACUAGAUACUUUGCUGGGACGCAUCAAACUGUUUAUCACUAAACAUCUGACGUUCCACUCAGAUAAUUUACACAUAAUUAGACAGAAGCCCACACUUCUGAGCAGCAGCAUUACCUCCUUUCUAACGGACUAUUCUUAAGAACAUUUUUGGGAGCAUAAUGAGUAUUUUAUGAGGAUUUGUAAUCAGUCUUAACGUAGGUGGGAACAAAGGUGAAUUACUCCUCAACACGAUCAAAUCAUUACAUAACUCAGUGCAGAAUAAUGAUGAACUGAGGUUGGGAGAGGUAACCUGCCCAGGAAUUUGGAGGAGUUAGGAAAUUCUGGUCUCUUCCAGAGGCAUACAAUGAAUUCAGUUAUCCCCUAGGAGGCAGAAAAAUUAAAAAAAAAAAAAGAA